RNAcentral lists this small RNA (314 nucleotides) under Caenorhabditis elegans. RNAcentral describes it as "Unclassified non-coding RNA Y53G8B.6". The record is from RNAcentral. Lineage: Eukaryota; Metazoa; Nematoda; Chromadorea; Rhabditida; Rhabditidae.
UCAGCUUUCCACUGAAAAUGCCGCAAUUUCUCGGAAUAGAAUGGGUGGAUCUAUUCUCAUCAAUUCAACGUAAAAAGACAUACUUGGGAGUUGUCUAUCACUUUAUGCUCACUUACCCACUUGCACUUUUCGUCACCAUUUUGCCAUUUUUCUUGGUAAGUUCAGGAAAUUUCAGAGCCAAAAAAACUUGUUACUGUAUUUUUUUUUAGCUUUUCACUUUCCAAUGGCACAUUUUGGCUCUCUACGCUUGCUGGUACUUCUACGAUAUGGAUUCUCCGAGGAGAGGUGGAUAUUCCAGUGAUUGGGUCAGAAAG